RNAcentral lists this ribosomal RNA (433 nucleotides) under uncultured bacterium. RNAcentral's name for it is "partial 16S ribosomal RNA". It matches the Rfam family "Bacterial small subunit ribosomal RNA", at positions 29 to 507 of the family's 1533-position model. The record is from RNAcentral.
AACGAACGCUGGCGGCAUGCCUAACACAUGCAAGUCGAACGAGACCUUCGUGUCUAGUUGCGCACGGGUGCGUAACGCGUGGGAACCUGCCCUUAGGUUCGGAAUAACUCCCCUAAAUGGGUGCUAAUACCGGAUAAUUUCUUCUGAUCAAAGAUUUAUCGCAGUUGGAUGGGCCCGCGUUGGAUUAGCUAGUUGGUAGUGUAAAAGCCUACCAAGGCGACGAUCCAUAGCUGGUCUGAGAGGAUGAGCAGCCACACUGGGACUGAGACACGGCCCAGAAUCCUACGGGAGGCAGCAGUGGGGAAUAUUGGACAAUGGGCGAAAGCCUGAUCCAGCAAUGCCGCGUGAGUGAUGAAGGCCUUAGGGUUGUAAAGCUAUUUUAACCGGGAGGAUAAUGACAGUACCGGGAGAAUAAGCUCCGGCUAACUCCGUG